RNAcentral lists this ribosomal RNA (436 nucleotides) under uncultured bacterium. RNAcentral's name for it is "bacterial SSU rRNA". It matches the Rfam family "Bacterial small subunit ribosomal RNA", at positions 958 to 1392 of the family's 1533-position model. The record is from RNAcentral.
AACGCGAAGAACCUUACCUACCCUUGACAUGCCAGGAAGCCCACUGAGAGGUGGGUGUGCCCGAAAGGGAGCCUGGACACAGGUGCUGCAUGGCUGUCGUCAGCUCGUGUUGUGAAAUGUUGGGUUAAGUCCCGCAACGAGCGCAACCCUUAUCCUUUGUUGCCAGCGGUCCGGCCGGGAACUCAAAGGAGACCGCCAGUGAUAAACUGGAGGAAGGUGGGGAUGACGUCAAGUCAUCAUGGCCCUUACGACCUGGGCUACACACGUGCUACAAUGGGCGGUACAAAGGGUUGCCAAACCGCGAGGUGGAGCUAAUCCCAUAAAACCGUUCGUAGUCCGGAUUGGAGUCUGCAACUCGACUCCAUGAAGUCGGAAUCGCUAGUAAUCGUGAAUCAGAACGUCACGGUGAAUACGUUCCCGGGCCUUGUACACACCG